CAGUAGCCACGGUAAUACAGAGGGUGCGAGCGUUAAUCGGAUUUACUGGGCGUAAAGCGUGCGUAGGCGGCUUUUUAAGUCGGAUGUGAAAUCCCUGAGCUUAACUUAGGAAUUGCAUUCGAUACUGGGAAGCUAGAGUAUGGGAGAGGAUGGUAGAAUUCCAGGUGUAGCGGUGAAAUGCGUAGAGAUCUGGAGGAAUACCGAUGGCGAAGGCAGCCAUCUGGCCUAAUACUGACGCUGAGGUACGAAAGCAUGGGGAGCAAACAGGAUUAGAUACCCCCGUAGUCCCUGUCUCUUAUAC
Molecule: ribosomal RNA, 301 nt
Filed under: uncultured bacterium
Lineage: Bacteria
Description: partial 16S ribosomal RNA
Rfam family: Bacterial small subunit ribosomal RNA
Source: RNAcentral